AUUGAACGCUGGCGGCAGGCCUAACACAUGCAAGUCGAGCGGAGCGGCGGACGGGUGAGUAAUGCCUAGGAAUCUGCCUGGUAGUGGGGGAUAACGUCCGGCAACGGGCGCUCAUACCGCAUACUAUCAGAUGAGCCUAGGCCGGCUUCGCUAGGUGGAGGGGUAAAGGCCUACCAAGGCGACGAUCCGUAACUGGUCUGAGAGGCUGAUCAGUCACACUGGAACGAAGACACGGUCCAGACUCCUACGGGAGGCAGCAGUGGGGAAUAUUGGACAAGGGGCGAAAGCCUGAUCCAGCCAUGCCGAGUGUGUGAAGAAGGUCUUCGGAUUGUAAAGCACGUUAAGUUGGGAGGCGUUACCAACAGAAUAAGCACCGGCUAACUUCGUGCCAGCAGCCGCGGUAAUUC
This 407-nucleotide ribosomal RNA is filed under the name uncultured bacterium. RNAcentral's name for it is "partial 16S ribosomal RNA". It matches the Rfam family "Bacterial small subunit ribosomal RNA", at positions 30 to 526 of the family's 1533-position model. The record is from RNAcentral.